Molecule: long non-coding RNA, 692 nt
Filed under: Zostera marina
Lineage: Eukaryota; Viridiplantae; Streptophyta; Magnoliopsida; Alismatales; Zosteraceae
Description: long non-coding RNA (ZMAR_LNC004955)
Source: RNAcentral
AAAAAGAAGAAGUAACAUACCUGGAGACAGACCUCGUUUCUUUUUUUUCCAAUUGGGAGGGAAUUAAUUUUGGGAAUAGAUCAGAGAGGCUGAAACGGAAAUUUUGGGUUUGAUUCUUUGAUGUAGGAACUGAAGAGUCUUAGACCCCAGCUGUAUUCCGCCGCAGAGUACUGCCAGAAAUCAUACCUUCACAACGAGCAGAAGCAAAUGUAAGUAAGCAAAACUGAUGUCUUUACUUUUGUUUGAAUAAUAAUAACAACACGAGUUUGAGAGGAAAUUUUCAGGGUGUUGGAUAAUUUGAAGAACUACACCGUCGGAGCUCUGGUGAACGCAGUCGAUCAUCUCGGAACCGUUGCUUAUAAACUCACAGAUCUAUUCGAAGAACAAUCUUUCGAUAUUUCGAAACUAGAGCAAAGCGUAUCACGUUUGGAUCAGGUAGACGGUAGGCUGUACCUACCAAUCAAAACGAAAAGUUAAAUUUCUUCUUUUUCUUUUUCUUUCCUGAAACGAAUGAAUUUUUUGGGGGGAUGUAAGAAAAUCCAUACCUGCCAACAUUACACAGACAUCGAAGGGCUGGGACAACAGCAAUUGUUGGCACCGAUUGCGCGUCACCACAAGCACUACAUUCUGCCGAGCACCGAAACCGACACCGGAAGCGGGAGGAAGGGUGUUGGAUACGAUCGGAUUUCGUC